UGCAUUACUUAUGUUGCAAUGAAUUUGGCAACACUUCACUAGCAAGCUACUGUUUAUAAGAAGGGAUCCCAGCAGCUAAAAGAAGCCAGUCAUUUGGAUUACUCAUUACUUGCCUUGUAACCUGCUCCAGGCAAUUACUUGAAGAAUGAUGUUAAAAUUAGCUUAGAAAACUAGUAAUUUGAGGACUUCGACUGACAUAUAUCAAGUGCUCCCAGAUAAACAUUGGUCACAUUGGCGGGCUUGGAAGGAUAUUAUUUUUGUUGUUAAUGAGUGAAGAUUUUCCUCUUUUGUGCCAGAAGACAAGAGGAUUAAAAAGACUGUUUUCCUCUCUGCAAGAAGAAAUCUGACAGACUGGGAAUUCAGUCACCAACACAUCAUGAAUGCUUCCCGGAGGUAAGAUGCACAUACUGCAUUCUCCUCAGGAUACAUUCUCUCCGUGCUCACAGACAGAAAAACAAUGGGAACAAAAGUGAGAACUGGCACAGCACUUCUGGGCUUAAGCACCAGAAUGGAGAUGAUCUUUGUACAGUCCAUAUGCUUUACACAGUGAUUGGCAUGAUCCUUCUAAUGGCAAUCUGGGGAGCCUGGUCAAGAAAGGAUUUCUCCUCAUAGCAGCAAUAUACUUCAAGUAAUAUUUAUGUUAAUUAUCCAUUCCCAGGAGGUACAGGAAAAUGUCUCAGCAUCUUAGAGCUUACUUCAAACUGUUUAAAUUGUUGCAACUUGUGGAACUGAAUCUGUGAAGCAAUUUAAUAGGCAAUGUACCUGAACAUGACUUUAUGAAUAAUGUGUACCUGUUUGCAUUGUAAAUAUUUGUAUUAUCCAGUGCAUGUAUAUGAAAUUUACUUUAAGCUCAGUAUGGUAACAUGGAGAGUUCAAGUUGUGUUUUUAUCGGUCAGUGUUUUGUAUAUCCAUGCCAGCUUUCAGUUUUUCAACAUAAGUUGUCCAGUCCCUACUUCUGCCAAGACUACCUGUCCCAAUCUGUGGUAAAACACACACUAUAAGCAGGCAAAUAAGUUGCUGUGUCACAACAACAUAGGGAAAAAAUCAAUAAAACCAGCUAUCCUGCAGGCAAAGGAAGACCUCAGAACAAAUCAAAUUCUCAUAUUUGUUGCUAAAAGAGUUUAUAUAGGACUUGCAUCUCCAUAUUUUUCACUUACAGUAAUGCUUUUGUAAACUUGGGAUUAAAACCAUUAAAUAAACUGUAUUUAUAAGCAUC
Molecule: long non-coding RNA, 1216 nt
Organism: Pogoniulus pusillus (Red-fronted tinkerbird)
Lineage: Eukaryota; Metazoa; Chordata; Aves; Piciformes; Lybiidae
Exons: 2
Source: RefSeq, a predicted model, not a curated record